RNAcentral lists this unclassified non-coding RNA (434 nucleotides) under fungal sp. Its description in RNAcentral is "partial internal transcribed spacer region". The stretch from base 1 to 46 matches the Rfam family "Eukaryotic small subunit ribosomal RNA", at positions 1786 to 1831 of the family's 1831-position model. Lineage: Eukaryota; Fungi. The record is from RNAcentral.
AAGUCGUAACAAGGUUUCCGUAGGUGAACCUGCGGAAGGAUCAUUAACACAUUAGAAAUAAUGUUUAAUAACAAAAAACAACCUUAACUAAAUUAAUACAAUGAUACAAACUCUGUCUAAUCUAAACAAAAAACGUUUUUUAUUCUUUUCGAUACGAACAAAAAGGAUUCAAUUUUUUAACCAAACUAACCAAAAAACAAACAAUAACUUUUUGUAAUACUGCGGAUUACUCCAGUAAUGACUAGUUAGUAGGUUUGAGUGUCUCGAAAGAGAUAUUCGCUGAACGUGAAAGUGAAAAGGUCGAUUAACAGUUGCAUGAAAAUUCACUUAAACAUAAAAAAAACACUUUCGACUCUAACGGGCGAAUUUCAGCUUUUUUAGAAAUAAAAAACAAAAACACAAUACAACUCUUAACAAUGGAUAUCUUGGCUCUC